AACGCACAUUGCGCUCCCUGGUAUUCCGGGGAGCAUGCCCGUUUCAGAAUCAUUUAAUCAUCUCACAACCCUGUUGGGAAGUGGAUGUUGGAUGUGCUGUUUGCAUUCUUCUGUUCUCAGGAGAAUCCAAUCAUCUGAAAAUGAGAGUACGUAGUCAUGGCUCCUUGGUGGGCUGGCUGACUUGGUGCAACAGAUUUCAUACAUCUUUACGCCAAGCAGGCUUGCUUUACUAGAACCACGAUUCUUGGCGUACCCCCAAGCUUACACAGUCUGGCUCAUGCUGGUCUGAUAACUUGGUCUGAAAUCGGGCAAGAAAACCCGCUGAACUUAA
This 331-nucleotide unclassified non-coding RNA is filed under the name uncultured fungus. RNAcentral's name for it is "partial contains 5.8S ribosomal RNA, internal transcribed spacer 2, and large subunit ribosomal RNA". The record is from RNAcentral. Lineage: Eukaryota; Fungi.